This 460-nucleotide ribosomal RNA is filed under the name uncultured bacterium. RNAcentral's name for it is "partial 16S ribosomal RNA". It matches the Rfam family "Bacterial small subunit ribosomal RNA", at positions 338 to 795 of the family's 1533-position model. The record is from RNAcentral.
CCUACGGGAGGCAGCAGUGAGGAAUAUUGGUCAAUGGACGAGAGUCUGAACCAGCCAAGCAGCGUGAAGGAUGACUGCCCUAUGGGUUGUAAACUUCUUUUAUAUGGGAAUAAAAUGUUCCACGUGUGGGUUUUUGUAUGUACCUUAUGAAUAAGGAUCGGCUAACUCCGUGCCAGCAGCCGCGGUAAUACGGAGGAUCCGAGCGUUAUCCGGAUUUAUUGGGGUUAAAGGGAGCGUAGGUGGAUUGUUAAGUCAGUUGUGAAAGUUUGUGGCUCAACCGUACAAUUGCAGUUGAAACUGGCAGUCUUGAGUACAGUAGAGGUGGGCGGAAUGCGUGGUGUAGCGGUGAAAUGCUUAGAUAUCACGAAGAACUCCGAUUGCGAAGGCAGCUCACUGGACUGCAACUGACACUGAGGCUCGAAAGUGUGGGUAUCAAACAGGAUUAGAUACCCUUGUAGUC